Molecule: unclassified non-coding RNA, 161 nt
Filed under: uncultured fungus
Lineage: Eukaryota; Fungi
Description: sequence contains ITS1
Source: RNAcentral
CAAUCAGUGUUUAAUGGCACUUGAAAUCCAUUACCCACCUUGUGUGCAAUGUCGGGGAGGGGGCGUGGACGCGUCUUUUGACGCGUUUUUCACCUCCUUCUUAUCAUUCACUCGUAGUUUUCAUAUCAGUCUACAAGUAUCGAGUAUCAAAAACUCUAAUA